UGCGGCAGCCUACACAUGCAAGUCGAGCGGAACGAUGGAGCUUGCUCCAGGCGUCGAGCGGCGGACGGGUGAGUAAUGCAUAGGAAUCUGCCCGGUAGUGGGGGAUAACCUGGGGAAACCCAGGCUAAUACCGCAUACGUCCUACGGGAGAAAGCAGGGGAUCUUCGGACCUUGCGCUAUCGGAUGAGCCUAUGUCGGAUUAGCUUGUUGGUGAGGUAAUGGCUCACCAAGGCGACGAUCCGUAGCUGGUCUGAGAGGAUGAUCAGCCACAUCGGGACUGAGACACGGCCCGAACUCCUACGGGAGGCAGCAGUGGGGAAUAUUGGACAAUGGGCGAAAGCCUGAUCCAGCCAUGCCGCGUGUGUGAAGAAGGCUUUCGGGUUGUAAAGCACUUUCAGUGAGGAAGAAGGCCUUGGGGCUAAUACCCCCGAGGAAGGACAUCACUCACAGAAGAAGCACCGGCUAACUCCGUGCCAGCAGCCGCGGUAAUACGGAGGGUGCGAGCGUUAAUCGGAAUUACUGGGCGUAAAGCGCGCGUAGGCGGCGUGAUAAGCCGGUUGUGAAAGCCCCGGGCUCAACCUGGGAACGGCAUCCGGAACUGUCAGGC
This 607-nucleotide ribosomal RNA is filed under the name Halomonas ventosae. RNAcentral describes it as "bacterial SSU rRNA". It matches the Rfam family "Bacterial small subunit ribosomal RNA", at positions 38 to 641 of the family's 1533-position model. Lineage: Bacteria; Pseudomonadati; Pseudomonadota; Gammaproteobacteria; Oceanospirillales; Halomonadaceae. The record is from RNAcentral.